AGCGAACGCUGGCGGCAGGCCUAACACAUGCAAGUCGAACGGACCCUUCGGGGUUAGUGGCGGACGGGUGAGUAACACGUGGGAACGUGCCUUUAGGUUCGGAAUAGCUCCUGGAAACGGGUGGUAAUGCCGAAUGUGCCCUUCGGGGGAAAGAUUUAUCGCCUUUAGAGCGGCCCGCGUCUGAUUAGCUAGUUGGUGAGGUAACGGCUCACCAAGGCGACGAUCAGUAGCUGGUCUGAGAGGAUGACCAGCCACACUGGGACUGAGACACGGCCCAGACUCCUACGGGAGGCAGCAGUGGGGAAUUUUGGACAAUGGGCGCAAGCCUGAUCCAGCCAUGCCGCGUGCAGGAUGAAGGCCUUCGGGUUGUAAACUGCUUUUGUACGGAACGAAAAGGUGCCUUCUAAUAAAGGGCGCUCAUGACGGUACCGUAAGAAUAAGCACCGGCUAACUACGUG
This 458-nucleotide ribosomal RNA is filed under the name uncultured bacterium. RNAcentral describes it as "partial 16S ribosomal RNA". It matches the Rfam family "Bacterial small subunit ribosomal RNA", at positions 29 to 507 of the family's 1533-position model. The record is from RNAcentral.